This 426-nucleotide ribosomal RNA is filed under the name uncultured Acinetobacter sp. RNAcentral describes it as "bacterial SSU rRNA". It matches the Rfam family "Bacterial small subunit ribosomal RNA", at positions 356 to 774 of the family's 1533-position model. The record is from RNAcentral. Lineage: Bacteria; Pseudomonadati; Pseudomonadota; Gammaproteobacteria; Moraxellales; Moraxellaceae.
GGGGAAUAUUGGACAAUGGGGGAAACCUGAUCCAGCCAUGCCGCGGGGGUGAAGAAGGGCUUAUGGGUGUAAAGCACUUUAAGCGAGGAGGGGGCUCUUUUGGUUUAUACCCAAGAUGAGGUGAAGGUACUUGCAGAAUAAGCAACGGCUAACUCUGGGCCAGCAGCCGCGGUAAUACAGAGGGUGCGAGCGUUAAUCGGAUUUACUGGGCGUAAAGCGUGCGUAGGCGGCUUUUUAAGUCGGAUGUGAAAUCCCCGAGCUUAACUUGGGAAUUGCAUUCGAUACUGGGAAGCUAGAGUAUGGGAGAGGAUGGUAGAAUUCCAGGUGUAGCGGUGAAAUGCGUAGAGAUCUGGAGGAAUACCGAUGGCGAAGGCAGCCAUCUGGCCUAAUACUGACGCUGAGGUACGAAAGCAUGGGGAGCAAACA